Molecule: long non-coding RNA, 678 nt
Filed under: Ricinus communis (castor bean)
Lineage: Eukaryota; Viridiplantae; Streptophyta; Magnoliopsida; Malpighiales; Euphorbiaceae
Description: long non-coding RNA (RCOM_LNC003633)
Source: RNAcentral
UGAGAAUUCAGCUGAUGCUUCUCAAUCAAGUGGUGGUGAAAAUGCCAGUGAUGCUGGAACAAGCACCUAAUGAAACUUUCAUUUCUGCAGUUGCUCAUCUUCUCUCUAUUCUGAAAAAAGAUGGGGGGCUCUGCUUGGGUUGGAUAAGUAGGUGUAUUUCAGGACCUCCCAUUGUGAUUACUAGAGGAAUGAAAACUGAUUAAAGUAACACUCUGUGAGCAUAAUGCAGUAGUAACGAGGUUCAGUGUUGGUUUUCUUGUAUGUUUUGAAAUGAGAUUCAGAUAUUCGUUGCUCUGGAACCUUCUUUUCCUUACUGCCAUUUGGUUAUUCUCUAAAAACUUUUGCUGUUUUGACAAGUCAUGAACAAACUUCUAUUUGUGCAAUUCAUGUGUUUAGCCCUGGCACUUGUAGUAACUUUUGCCGGAUGCCAAUAGACAGGUUCUCUUUCUCAGCAAUUAAACGUAAAUGAAACCUGUUCAAGUAAUCUUCUUCUCAGGAUUCACUUGAUUCAUAAGAACAUAUUAUAUAUUGAUAAAUAUUUCAUAUUUGUGUCACAACUAUUUGUAUUAAAGCGCCAAUUUGCCCCUUCCCCAACUCUAUCUUCCUUAUCAGUGAACCGGAACAUAGUGCAUAGGUGAAUUUGGAGUCCGUGGGUAGUUAGCUCUUCUUUUUCUUUUU